RNAcentral lists this ribosomal RNA (838 nucleotides) under uncultured bacterium. Its description in RNAcentral is "bacterial SSU rRNA". It matches the Rfam family "Bacterial small subunit ribosomal RNA", at positions 547 to 1397 of the family's 1533-position model. The record is from RNAcentral.
GGAAUUAUUGGGCGUAAAGCGUCCGCAGGCGGUGGGUUAAGUCAGGCAUUAAAUUCCGAAGCUUAACUUCGGAGCUGUGUUUGAAACUAAUCCACUAGAGACAAGGAGAGGCACACGGAAUUCCCGGUGUAGGGGUUACAUCCGUUAAUAUCGGGGAGAACACCAUUUGCGAAGGCGGUGUGCUAGACUUGUUCUGACGCUCAGGGACGAAAGCGUGGGUAGCGAAUGGAAUUAGAUACUCCAGUAGUCCACGCCCUAAACUUUGAAUACUUGACUUGAGGAGUUCGACCCUCCUUGAGCCUGAAGCUAACGCUUUAAGUAUUCCGCCUGGGAAGUACGGCCGCAAGGCUAAAACUCAAAGGAAUUGACGGGGACCCGCACAAGCGGUGGAGCAUAUGGUUUAAUUCGUAGAUAAGCGUAGAACCUUACCAGGGCUUGACAUGCUACUGCAAAUCCUAUGAAAGUAGGACUCCUUCGAGGGUGUAGCACAGGUGCUGCAUGGCUGUCGUCAGCUCGUGUCGUGAGAUGUUGGGUUAAGUCCUCUAACGAGCGCAACCCCUGUGAUAUGUUAAAUUUUCAUAUCAGGCCGCCCCGGUAUAACGGGGAGGAAGGUGGGGAUGACGUCAAGUCAGCAUGGCUCUUACGUCCUGGGCGACACGUAUGCUACAAUGGGAAAUACAAAGAGACGCAAAGUCGUAAGACGGAGCUAAUCUCAUCAAAAUUUCUCUCAGUUCGGAUUGGGGGCUGCAACUCGCCCCCAUGAAGCCGGAAUCGCUAGUAACCGUAGGUCAGCCACACUACGGUGAAUACGUUCUCGGGUCUUGCACACACCGCCCGU